CUCUGCUACGCGGAGGGACAUUACCGAGUUUACAACUCCCAAACCCAAUGUGAACGUUACCAAACUGUUGCCUCGGCGGGGUCACGCCCCGGGUGCGUAAAAGCCCCGGAACCAGGCGCCCGCCGGAGGAACCAACCAAACUCUUUCUGUAGUCCCCUCGCGGACGUAUUUCUUACAGCUCUGAGCAAAAAUUCAAAAUGAAUCAAAACUUUCAACAACGGAUCUCUUGGUUCUGGCAUCGAUGAAGAACGCAGCGAAAUGCGAUAAGUAAUGUGAAUUGCAGAAUUCAGUGAAUCAUCGAAUCUUUGAACGCACAUUGCGCCCGCCAGUAUUCUGGCGGGCAUGCCUGUCCGAGCGUCAUUUCAACCCUCGAACCCCUCCGGGGGAUCGGCGUUGGGGAUCGGGACCCCUCACCGGGUGCCGGCCCUGAAAUACAGUGGCGGUCUCGCCGCAGCCUCUCCUGCGCAGUAGUUUGCACAACUCGCACCGGGAGCGCGGCGCGUCCACGUCCGUAAAACACCCAACUUCUGAAAUGUUGACCUCGGAUCAGGUAGGAAUACCCGCUGAACUUAAGCAUAUCA
RNAcentral lists this ribosomal RNA (581 nucleotides) under Trichoderma hamatum. RNAcentral describes it as "eukaryotic LSU rRNA". The stretch from base 207 to 360 matches the Rfam family "5.8S ribosomal RNA". Lineage: Eukaryota; Fungi; Ascomycota; Sordariomycetes; Hypocreales; Hypocreaceae. The record is from RNAcentral.